CCUACGGGGGGCAGCAGUGGGGAAUAUUGGACAAUGGGGGCAACCCUGAUCCAGCCAUGCCGCGUGUGUGAAGAAGGCCCUCGGGUUGUAAAGCACUUUCAGUGAGGAAGAACGCCUGGUGGUUAAUACCCAUCAGGAAAGACAUCACUCACAGAAGAAGCACCGGCUAACUCCGUGCCAGCAGCCGCGGUAAUACGGAGGGUGCGAGCGUUAAUCGGAAUUACUGGGCGUAAAGCGCGCGUAGGUGGCUUGAUAAGCCGGUUGUGAAAGCCCCGGGCUCAACCUGGGAACGGCAUCCGGAACUGUCAAGCUAGAGUGCAGGAGAGGAAGGUAGAAUUCCCGGUGUAGCGGUGAAAUGCGUAGAGAUCGGGAGGAAUACCAGUGGCGAAGGCGGCCUUCUGGACUGACACUGACACUGAGGUGCGAAAGCAUGGGUAGCAAACAGGAUUAGAUACCCUUGUAGUC
RNAcentral lists this ribosomal RNA (465 nucleotides) under Vreelandella stevensii. Its description in RNAcentral is "partial 16S ribosomal RNA". It matches the Rfam family "Bacterial small subunit ribosomal RNA", at positions 338 to 795 of the family's 1533-position model. The record is from RNAcentral. Lineage: Bacteria; Pseudomonadati; Pseudomonadota; Gammaproteobacteria; Oceanospirillales; Halomonadaceae.